RNAcentral lists this ribosomal RNA (497 nucleotides) under uncultured bacterium. Its description in RNAcentral is "partial 16S ribosomal RNA". It matches the Rfam family "Bacterial small subunit ribosomal RNA", at positions 28 to 507 of the family's 1533-position model. The record is from RNAcentral.
GAUGAACGCUGGCGGCGUGCCUAAUACAUGCAAGUCGAGCGAACGGACGAGAAGCUUGCUUCUCUGAUGUUAGCGGCGGACGGGUGAGUAACACGUGGAUAACCUACCUAUAAGACUGGGAUAACUUCGGGAAACCGGAGCUAAUACCGGAUAAUAUUUUGAACCGCAUGGUUCAAAAGUGAAAGACGGUCUUGCUGUCACUUAUAGAUGGAUCCGCGCUGCAUUAGCUAGUUGGUAAGGUAACGGCUUACCAAGGCAACGAAGCAUAGCCGACCUGAGAGGGUGACCGGCCACACUGGAACUGAGACACGCUCCAGACUCCUACGGGAGGCAGCAGUAGGGAAUCUUCCGCAAUGGGCGAAAGCCUGACGGAGCAACGCCGCGUGAGUGAUGAAGGUCUUCGGAUCGUAAAACUCUGUUAUUAGGGAAGAACAUAUGUGUAAGUAACUGUGCACAUCUUGACGGUACCUAAUCAGAAAGCCACGGCUAACUACGUG